CCCCAUUCCAUGUCCCCAUCCCAAUGUCCCCAUCCCGAUGUCCCCAUUCCAUGUCCCCAUUCCAUGUCCCCAUUCCAUGUCCUUAUUCCCAUGUCCCCAUUCCAUGUCCCCAUUCCAUGUCCCCAUCCCGAUGUCCCCAUCCCAUGUCCCCAUUCCAUGUCCCCAUCCCGAUGUCCCCAUCACAUGUCCCCAUUCCAUGUCCCCAUUCCAUGUCCCCAUUCCAUGUCCCCAUUCCCAUGUCCCCAUCCCAAUGUCCCCAUCCCAAUGUCCCCAUUCCAUGUCCCCAUUCCAUGUCCCCAUUCCAUGUCCCCAUCCCGAUGUCCCCAUCCUGAUGUCCCCAUUCCCAUGUCCCCAUUCCAUGUCCCCAUCCUGGUGUCUCCAUUCCAUGUCCCCAUCCCAAUGUCCCCAUCCCGAUGUCCCCAUUCCAUGUCCUCAUUCCCAUGUCCCCAUCCCGAUGUCCCAAUCCCGAUGUCCCAAUCCCGAUGUCCCCAUUCCAUGUCCCCAUCCCGAUGUCCUCAUUCCCAUGUCCCCAUUCCAUGUCCCCAUUCCAUGUCCCCAUUCCAUGUCCCCAUCCCAUGUCCCCAUUCCAUGUCCCCAUCCCGAUGUCCCCAUCCCAUGUCCCCAUUCCAUGUCCCCAUCCCAAUGUCCCCAUUCCAUGUCCCCAUUCCAUGUCCCCAUUCCAUGUCCCCAUCCAGAUGUCCCCAUCCCAUGUCCCCAUUCCAUGUCCCCAUUCCAUGUCCCCAUUCCAUGUCCCCAUUCCAUGUCCCCAUCCCAAUGUCCCCAUUCCAUGUCCCCAUUCCAUGUCCCCAUUCCAUGUCCCCAUUCCAUGUCCCCAUCCCAAUGUCCCCAUUCCAUGUCCCCAUUCCAUGUCCCCAUUCCAUGUCCCCAUUCCAUGUCCCCAUCCCAAUGUCCCCAUUCCAUGUCCCCAUUCCAUGUCCCCAUUCCAUGUCCCCAUUCCAUGUCCCCAUCCCAAUGUCCCCAUUCCAUGUCCCCAUUCCAUGUCCCCAUCCCAAUGUCCCCAUCCUGGUGUCCCCAUUCCAUGUCCCCAUUCCAUGUCCCUGACCCCAGACGUGGACGAGUGCCAGGAGUACGGGGCCGGGCUCUGCGGGGCGCAGCGCUGCGAGAACAUUCCGGGCUCCUAUCGCUGCGUGCCCGAGUGCCAGCCGGGAUUCCGGCCCGGAGACGGCGGGGACUGCCUCGGUGAGGGACUGGGAUUUGGGAUUUGGGAUUUGGGAAUUGGGAUUUGGAUUGGGAUAUGGGAUUGAUCCUGAGUGCCAGCCGGGAUUCCGGCCCGGAGACGGCGGGGACUGCCUCGGUGAGGGACUGGGAUUGGGAUUUGGGAUUUGGAUUUGGGAUUUGGAUUAGGAUAUGGGAUUGAUCCUGAGUGCCAG
Molecule: long non-coding RNA, 1391 nt
Filed under: Chloebia gouldiae (Gouldian finch)
Lineage: Eukaryota; Metazoa; Chordata; Aves; Passeriformes; Passeridae
Description: Erythrura gouldiae (Gouldian finch) lncRNA (ENSEGOG00005018441.1)
Source: RNAcentral